CGAACUUAAAAUUUUCAUCAUAAAUCAAUUUAUUUGGAAAUGAUAAACUCAACUCAAUCAAUGCAAAUAGUAUUACAAGAAACCCUAAUAUAUCCUUAUAUCUAUGAUAAUGAUGAAAAGGAAUCUUAUCUAAAUCUCUGUUUAAUCCUAAGGGAUUACUUGUACCUCCUUCAUGUA
This is a long non-coding RNA of Octopus sinensis (East Asian common octopus), 177 nucleotides long. RefSeq lists it as uncharacterized. The record is from RefSeq and is a predicted model, not a curated record. NCBI's taxonomy places the organism in Eukaryota, Metazoa, Mollusca, Cephalopoda, Octopoda, Octopodidae. The transcript is spliced from 3 exons.